ACACCUUCAAGCCCUGCUUGGUGUUGGGUGACUGUGGCCCCAUGGGCCACUCGCCUCAAAGUCAUUGGCGGCCGGUACGUAGGCUUCGAGCGCAGCACAUGUGCGUCCUCGCGCCUCUCGGAUCGGCUCCCAGAAGCUAAACCUCACU
RNAcentral lists this unclassified non-coding RNA (148 nucleotides) under Westerdykella reniformis. RNAcentral's name for it is "partial internal transcribed spacer 2". The record is from RNAcentral. Lineage: Eukaryota; Fungi; Ascomycota; Dothideomycetes; Pleosporales; Sporormiaceae.